UACGGGAGGCAGCAGUGGGGAAUAUUGCACAAUGGGCGCAAGCCUGAUGCAGCCAUGCCGCGUGUAUGAAGAAGGCCUUCGGGUUGUAAAGUACUUUCAGCAGUGAGGAAGGUGGGUAUGUUAAUAGCAUACUCAUUUGACGUUAGCUGCAGAAGAAGCACCGGCUAACUCCGUGCCAGCAGCCGCGGUAAUACGGAGGGUGCGAGCGUUAAUCGGAAUUACUGGGCGUAAAGCGCAUGCAGGUGGUUUGUUAAGUCAGAUGUGAAAGCCCGGGGCUCAACCUCGGAAUUGCAUUUGAAACUGGCAAACUAGAGUACUGUAGAGGGGGUAGAAUUUCAGGUGUAGCGGUGAAAUGCGUAGAGAUCUGAAGGAAUACCGGUGGCGAAGGCGGCCCCCUGGACAGAUACUGACACUCAGAUGCGAAAGCGUGGGGAGCAAACAGGAUUAGAUACCCUGUAG
Molecule: ribosomal RNA, 459 nt
Filed under: uncultured bacterium
Lineage: Bacteria
Description: bacterial SSU rRNA
Rfam family: Bacterial small subunit ribosomal RNA
Source: RNAcentral